CUAGACAUUGCAACAUGUAGCAUGCCAGGAGACUUGAGUUAGUGGGUUAUGAAGCAUUACAACACUGAAAUUUCACAACCGGUCAUUCCAGAGAGGGGGAAAAUUCCAGUAGAUGCAGCAAGUGUUCAUAGGAUAUGGGGUUUGCCAAACAGGGGGAGGCAAGUGUGCUAUGAGAAGAGAGCGGAUUACACAUCUCAAAUGAAUACCAUCUUCAACAUUAAUACCAAAGGCUCACCAACACAAACAUCAUGGUGCAAAAUGAUUGAGGAUAUGGCUGGGCGUAGAUGA
Molecule: ribosomal RNA, 288 nt
Filed under: Triticum aestivum (bread wheat)
Lineage: Eukaryota; Viridiplantae; Streptophyta; Magnoliopsida; Poales; Poaceae
Description: partial small subunit ribosomal RNA
Source: RNAcentral